RNAcentral lists this unclassified non-coding RNA (416 nucleotides) under uncultured fungus. Its description in RNAcentral is "partial contains small subunit ribosomal RNA, internal transcribed spacer 1, and 5.8S ribosomal RNA". The stretch from base 1 to 73 matches the Rfam family "Eukaryotic small subunit ribosomal RNA", at positions 1759 to 1831 of the family's 1831-position model. Lineage: Eukaryota; Fungi. The record is from RNAcentral.
ACAAACUUGGUCAUUUAGAGGAAGUAAAAGUCGUAACAAGGUUUCCGUAGGUGAACCUGCGGAAGGAUCAUUACCAAUCUCUAGCGGGACUUUUUUGGGUCUCGCGAAAAACUUGUAUUUAAAACCCAACUCUUUAAAAAAAAAAUACUAUAUAUACGUUAUACGUAAAUAAAGAUCACUUUCAACAACGGAUCUCUUGGCUCUCUUAGAGGAAGUAAAAGUCGUAACAAGGUUUCCGUAGGUGAACCUGCGGAAGGAUCAUUACCAAUCUCUAGCGGGACUUUUUUGGGUCUCGCGAAAAACUUGUAUUUAAAACCCAACUCUUUAAAAAAAAAAUACUAUAUAUACGUUAUACGUAAAUAAAGAUCACUUUCAACAACGGAUCUCUUGGCUCUCGCAUCGAUGAAGAACGCAGC